UACGGAGGGUGCAAGCGUUAAUCGGAAUUACUGGGCGUAAAGCGCACGCAGGCGGUUUUUUAAGUCAGAUGUGAAAUCCCCGGGCUCAACCUGGGAACUGCAUUUCAUACUGGCAAGCUUGAGUCCUGUAGAGGGGGGUAGAAUUCCAGGUGUAGCGGUGAAAUGCGUAGAGAUGUGGAGGAAUACCGGUGGCGAAGGCGGCCCCCUGGAAGAGGACUGACGCUCAGGUGCGAAAGCGUGGGGAGCAAACAGG
Molecule: ribosomal RNA, 253 nt
Filed under: uncultured bacterium
Lineage: Bacteria
Description: partial 16S ribosomal RNA
Rfam family: Bacterial small subunit ribosomal RNA
Source: RNAcentral